AGUGAACGCUGGCGGUAGGCCUAACACAUGCAAGUCGAACGGCAGCACAGUAAGAGCUUGCUCUUACGGGUGGCGAGUGGCGGACGGGUGAGGAAUACAUCGGAAUCUACUUUUUCGUGGGGGAUAACGUAGGGAAACUUACGCUAAUACCGCAUACGACCUACGGGUGAAAGCAGGGGAUCUUCGGACCUUGCGCGAUUGAAUGAGCCGAUGUCGGAUUAGCUAGUUGGCGGGGUAAAGGCCCACCAAGGCGACGAUCCGUAGCUGGUCUGAGAGGAUGAUCAGCCACACUGGAACUGAGACACGGUCCAGACUCCUACGGGAGGCAGCAGUGGGGAAUAUUGGACAAAGGGCGCAAGCCUGAUCCAGCCAUACCGCGUGGGUGAAGAAGGCCUUCGGGUUGUAAAGCCCUUUUGUUGGGAAAGAAAAGCAGCAGGUUAAUACCCCGCUGUUCUGACGGUACCCAAAGAAUAAGCACCGGCUAACUUCAUG
RNAcentral lists this ribosomal RNA (492 nucleotides) under uncultured bacterium. RNAcentral's name for it is "partial 16S ribosomal RNA". It matches the Rfam family "Bacterial small subunit ribosomal RNA", at positions 29 to 507 of the family's 1533-position model. The record is from RNAcentral.